AAUCAACGCUGGCGGCGUGCCUAACACAUGCAAGUCGAACGCGAAAGCCCCGCAAGGGGUAAGUAGAGUGGCAAACGGGUGAGUAACACGUGGGUGACCUGCCUUCGAGUGGGGGAUAACGUCCCGAAAGGGACGCUAAUACCGCAUAACAUCCUGCCUUUGAAGAGGUGGAGAUCAAAGCCGGGACCGCAAGGCCUGGCGCUCAAAGAGGGGCCCGCGCCUGAUUAGCUAGNGGUGAGGUAAUGGCUCACCAAGGCAACGAUCAGUAUCCGGCCUGAGAGGGCGGACGGACACACUGGGACUGAGACACGGCCCAGACUCCUACGGGAGGCAGCAGUGGGAAUUGUUCGCAAUGGGCGCAAGCCUGACGACGCAACGCCGCGUGGAGGAUGAAGACC
This 398-nucleotide ribosomal RNA is filed under the name uncultured bacterium. RNAcentral's name for it is "bacterial SSU rRNA". It matches the Rfam family "Bacterial small subunit ribosomal RNA", at positions 29 to 416 of the family's 1533-position model. The record is from RNAcentral.